Molecule: long non-coding RNA, 300 nt
Filed under: Amborella trichopoda
Lineage: Eukaryota; Viridiplantae; Streptophyta; Magnoliopsida; Amborellales; Amborellaceae
Description: long non-coding RNA (ATRI_LNC005413)
Source: RNAcentral
CCGAAGCAAACUUUUUUUCAUACUUUUUUCCCUAAAAUAAAUUUUUCUAGCAAAUACCUCUCCAAGUCAACAAAUUUAUUUCUUUAGACAAAAAUCUCUUUUCGUAUAUAAGAAAUUAUUUUGGCCAGAUUUGACGUGGACUGUCAGACCCGAGUAGCAAUUGCCGGACUGCACCAUUGAAUUGUCAAACCCUGCAUUUAUGCGGGACCAAAUUUUGAAUUGCCAGACCCCUUCUUCCAAAAACCUGAGUGUCGGACGGCACUUUUCAACCGCCGGACCCCUUGUUGCAAAUGCCGGAGC